UAAUGUAUUUUAAUUUAAUUUUAGUGCUAGAAGUAAUGGUGAAGAGUCACAUAACUUAUUGUCUUCGCUUCAUUAAAAUUUGUGUAUUUCCAAUUGCUGAAACGAACAAGCAACUACAAUAAAUUAUGAAGGAUGAGUUGUUUCUUUAAUUGAACAGUGACCAGGUUACAAGUUUAACAAUUUAUUAAAAAAUUUGUACUUCAAGGAAUUAGUAUAAAUAUGUUCUCAGUGUAUGUACAGGUUUUCUUGGUUCAAGAAAAUCUAUAUUCUCGCAUGACUGAAGAUCGGUCGCAUGCGAGCCGAAGAAAAUGCUAAUCUUGACCAGGUGCUCGAUUACGGCCCUCUUGCUUGUAGGACAAAGUCAUUUGUUAACCCUGCCACACUAAAACUGGGUUAUCGGAAACUGGACGACAUUGAGGACGUAUUAUUUGAUAUUGUACAAUGUCAAACGACGAGAAGAGAAUCGCGAUCUUUCAGAGACUCGUUAUAUGGCGUUUUGUUUCUUUAGAUACUUAUCGAAUUUCUUUGUUAUUUAUUCUUAUGUAACUAACUAAAGGUACACGUGUCUUUAGCAAAAUCCGUUCAUGCACCUACGUAGAAAUAUCAAUAUUAUUGUUUGGAAGUAUAACUAAAAUUCAGCUAUCGACGUGCAUGUCUGAAUGACUGAGUACGUAAGUGCUCGUAAGUAAGCGCUUCAUAUUUCAUGAACGGUAUGUCAACGUUUCCUAGCGAUACCGUUUAUAACAAAAUCGAAAACUUCAGCAAACGCGAAAAAGCUUAAACAUACCGUUUGACGUAUAUAUUUGUGUUUAACAAUCAAAAAUUUCCUGCCAAACUAUUUAACUUUUGGCCGGACGUAAGUUUGGUUAAUUUUGAAUAAUAAACAAGAGACGUAAAAUCAAUUCUUCGCGAAGAAAGUCAAUACUACAUUAUUUAGAAUAGAUUAGCGAAUAGGUGAAGAUUAAUACUGCCUCGUUUUCUUUUUGAUUUUUUAAUUUCUUUCUUAUUUUUAGUCCUUACUCAUUACGACCAGCGAAACUAUCAACGAAAAUCAAUAGUGGGCAAGCCGUAGAUCGAGUAUAGAAAAGGUCGUCGUGUAUUUCGUCGACGACACGCGAACAGUCUAAUAUUACCUGAUGAAAACAACCAAACUCAUAUAGCGUUUCAUGAGUUACGGUCGAAUAACUUUUCCUAGGAUGUGUGAAUUAUUAUGACGCGACAAAGGUAUAUGAUAAAUCAGCUAGAAAGCUGAAGAUACCUGAAAUCUAGGAAAGUCAAGCAUCGAUGAAAAUGAAUAGAUACAUAACUUUGAAUCAGCUGGGCGAUGGAACUUUCGGUUCCGUCGUUCUUGGAGAACGCAUCGACACCGGUGAGAAAGUUGCUAUAAAAAGAAUGAAGAGAAAAUACUACUCCUGGGAGGAAGCGAUGAAUUUGCGCGAAGUUAAAUCCUUGAAGAAACUCAGUCACGCGAACGUUGUGAAACUAAAGGAAGUAAUACGCGAGAAUGACGUAUUAUACUUUGUCUUUGAAUACAUGAAAGAAAAUCUUUACCAGUUGAUGAAGGAUAGGGACAAACUGUUCCCUGAAUCAGUGAUCAGAAAUAUAGUAUACCAGGUACUGCAAGGUCUGGCGUUCAUGCAUAAACAUGGUUUCUUCCAUCGCGACAUGAAACCUGAAAAUUUAUUAUGCAUGGGACCAGAAUUGGUGAAGAUUGCUGAUUUUGGAUUAGCCAGAGAAAUACGGUCAAGACCUCCUUAUACGGACUAUGUAUCUACGAGAUGGUACAGAGCACCAGAAGUGCUGCUCCAUUCCACAACUUAUAACAGUCCAAUCGACAUUUGGGCAGUUGGUUGCAUCAUGGCAGAAUUGUACACGUUUCGACCACUGUUCCCUGGGAAAAGCGAGAUCGACGAGAUCUUCAAAAUAUGUUCCGUAAUCGGCACCCCAGAGAAAGAUGACUGGCCAGAGGGGUAUCAAUUAGCUGCUGCCAUGAAUUUCAAGUUUCCAAACUUUACUCGCACGUCGUUGAGCGUUUUAAUACCAAAUGCCAGCCAAGAAGCGGUGAUACUCAUGGAAGACAUGUUGCGAUGGAACCCUAUAAAAAGACCGACAGCUCAACAAUCUUUGAGGUAUCCAUAUUUUCAAGUAAACGUUCAACGUCCGAUUAACAGCAAGAAGAUUGGAGUUACCUCUCAGCGAGAUCUUGUUCUAAACAAAGUGAAUCUUCCACCUCCCAUGCCCAAGCAGUACUACUCGCAGCAAGAUAUUCUUAACACGUUGGAAUCCAGAGCGCAAGAGAAAAUGAUGCAACCGGCGCAAGAGCAACCGAUGCUGCCCUUACUGAAUCAUAACAAUUACGUGCGCGAAACCAAUCCUACAAAAAUGGACGAAGACGAUUUUGCCGAGCUCUUAGGAAGCAAGAUCGUUCCCGAGAACGCAAUCCUUGCCCCAGAACGAGUGUAUAAAGAGAACCGUGCCAACUGGAACGACAAUUAUUUGCCAGACAAUCCGAAACAGAGCAAUGGAAACUGGGUGUUGCCUCACUGGAACGAACCGGCCACGAUAAGUUGGAAUCAAUCGCAGUCAAGCUUGAAAAAUGGCCGAAAAGUGUCGGGAAAACAACAUUACUUCAGCGUGGCUCGGUACGUCACAGGGCAGAGCACAAGUUUGUCGUCCAGGUAUCGAACGUUUCGAGAUGUUCUAAAGAGAAUCCUGAUCCCCUGUUCACUGCUAAUACUGGGAUACACGCUGGUGUGCUGUUUAAUCUGGAAAAAUGAACUUCAUAAGCAUCCUCGUUAUUGUUUAUUUCUGCUAAAGAAGUUUGCCAUGAAAGAACUUUCAUUACAAACUUUUAACUAAUCUAAAAUUGUCAUGUGAUUUUUUAGUGAAGAAAAUUUAAUUGAUUAUUAGAACGUGAAUCAGAAACGGCGACGUCGAAUCAAAUCGACCGAGGCUGAUGCGGAAUUUGGUUGGACAACCGAUGGAAAAGUAUGAA
Molecule: unclassified non-coding RNA, 2995 nt
Filed under: Megachile rotundata (alfalfa leafcutting bee)
Lineage: Eukaryota; Metazoa; Arthropoda; Insecta; Hymenoptera; Megachilidae
Description: serine/threonine-protein kinase MAK, transcript variant X6
Source: RNAcentral